RNAcentral lists this ribosomal RNA (750 nucleotides) under Brevibacterium sp. Its description in RNAcentral is "bacterial SSU rRNA". Lineage: Bacteria; Bacillati; Actinomycetota; Actinomycetes; Micrococcales; Brevibacteriaceae. The record is from RNAcentral.
CGUGAGUAACCUGCCCCUGACUCUGGGAUAAGCCCGGGAAACUGGGUCUAAUACCGGAUAUGACCAUUCUCCGCAUGGAGUGGUGGUGGAAAGUUUUUCGGUUGGGGAUGGGCUCGCGGCCUAUCAGCUUGUUGGUGGGGUGAUGGCCUACCAAGGCGACGACGGGUAGCCGGCCUGAGAGGGCGACCGGCCACACUGGGACUGAGACACGGCCCAGACUCCUACGGGAGGCAGCAGUGGGGAAUAUUGCACAAUGGGGGAAACCCUGAUGCAGCGACGCCGCGUGGGGGAUGACGGCCUUCGGGUUGUAAACCUCUUUCAGUAGGGAAGAAGCCUUCGGGUGACGGUACCUGCAGAAGAAGUACCCGCUAACUACGUGCCAGCAGCCGCGGUAAUACGUAGGGUACAAGCGUUGUCCGGAAUUAUUGGGCGUAAAGAGCUCGUAGGUGGUCUGUCACGUCUGCUGUGGAAACGCAAGGCUCAACCUUGCGCGUGCAGUGGGUACGGGCGGACUAGAGUGCAGUAGGGGAGUCUGGAAUUCCUGGUGUAGCGGUGAAAUGCGCAGAUAUCAGGAGGAACACCGGUGGCGAAGGCGGGACUCUGGGCUGUAACUGACGCUGAGGAGCGAAAGCAUGGGGAGCGAACARGAUUAGAAUACCCUGGUAGUCCAUGCCGUAAACGUUGGGCACUAGGUGUGGGGGUCCAUUCCACGGAUUCCGCGCCGUAGCUAACGCAUUUAAGUGCCCCGCC